Long non-coding RNA from Pongo pygmaeus (Bornean orangutan), 973 nucleotides. RefSeq lists it as uncharacterized. The record is from RefSeq and is a predicted model, not a curated record. The transcript has 4 exons. NCBI's taxonomy places the organism in Eukaryota, Metazoa, Chordata, Mammalia, Primates, Hominidae.
ACAGUGGCGGGAGCGUCCCCGUGAGAGGCCCGACCCAGGUGUGGGCCACGCUGGGAGCCCAAGGACCAAGCGGCGCUCCUGGGAUGCAGAGGAGGAUUUGUGACAGCUUAGGGAACAGACAAAAUGGUUUCGAAAAGGCUAAUGGCAGUCCCGAACUGACAGCCACAAGUGGCACCUGAACAGGGACUUGAACAAAGAAAGUCUGCUGGAGCAGAAAAAGUGAAACUGACCAGAUGAACGAGAAACCCUGGGAUGAGUCUGCCUACAGAGGAUAUAAGGAGAUGGAUAAACCAUGUGAGUGCCCUCAAGUUGUGUGCGACCAUGGAAUGGGAGAAUAGAGGGAUACAUGGAUCCCAGCUACAGGCCCAACUCCUCCAAUAUGAGCCAUGAGCCAGUUGAAUCUGAAUGUGAAGAUGGAAUGAAGACCAACCAGAGUCACACUGACAUCAACCCUCAUAACAUGGGGUCAGAUCAAGGAAACCACACCAGAAGCUGAGAAACUGGUGUAGUGCCAGGUCUGUAAAAUCAACUGGAACACCAACCAGCAAUUGAGAGCUGCAUAGCCUGCAAUUACCUUUAUUCAAUUAAAUCAAAAGCAGAAAGGGGGAGAUGCUGGAGGCUGAAAGAAUGAGGGUCGUGACCAACUCAGUAUACCACUGGAGGCUAUGUGAGCAAACAGCAAACUGUUCUCAUGAAUACAGGAUAUUGGCAAGCUGACAGCUGCAUCUGCCACCAGAAGGAAUGCUGAGGACAGUCAUGCACCAGGCACAGUGUUCCUUUGUAGUUAUCUAUAGGAACAUCUGGACCCCGUUAUAUAAAGAAAGCAAUUAUUUGAACCUGUGAUAAAUCAAGCAGCUGACUAAAACUGUUACCUCUUCCUCCCUGUUGGUUCUACCUAAUAAAUAUGAAGGGCUGUAUAAGCUCAGGGCCCUUGUUCCCUAGAAGCAAGGAGCCCCCUGACCCCUUCUUUACA